GAUGAACGCUGGCGGCGUGCCUAAUACAUGCAAGUCGAGCGAACAGACGAGGAGCUUGCUCCUCUGACGUUAGCGGCGGACGGGUGAGUAACACGUGGAUAACCUACCUAUAAGACUGGGAUAACUUCGGGAAACCGGAGCUAAUACCGGAUAAUAUAUUGAACCGCAUGGUUCAAUAGUGAAAGACGGUUUUGCUGUCACUUAUAGAUGGAUCCGCGCCGCAUUAGCUAGUUGGUAAGGUAACGGCUUACCAAGGCAACGAUGCGUAGCCGACCUGAGAGGGUGAUCGGCCACACUGGAACUGAGACACGGUCCAGACUCCUACGGGAGGCAGUAGUAGGGAAUCUUCCGCAAAGGGCGAAAGCCUGACGGAGCAACGCCGCGUGAGUGAUGAAGGUCUUCGGAUCGUAAAACUCUGUUAUUAGGGAAGAACAAAUGUGUAAGUAACUAUGCACGUCUUGACGGUACCUAAUCAGAAAGCCACGGCUAACCACGUG
Molecule: ribosomal RNA, 497 nt
Filed under: uncultured bacterium
Lineage: Bacteria
Description: partial 16S ribosomal RNA
Rfam family: Bacterial small subunit ribosomal RNA
Source: RNAcentral